This is a long non-coding RNA of Pseudopipra pipra, 3342 nucleotides long. RefSeq lists it as uncharacterized. Lineage: Eukaryota; Metazoa; Chordata; Aves; Passeriformes; Pipridae. The record is from RefSeq and is a predicted model, not a curated record. The transcript is spliced from 2 exons.
CAUCAGCAGCAUUACUUCUGCAGCUUUUUCAAUAAAGUAGUAAAUCUCACCGUGAUUUUUCCUGGGCUCUGCACACCGGUUCUGUGUAUUAAAUUGCACAGAGAACACAGCAUAAGGGAGUGGUUGUGUACUUAUCAGUUACCAUGGAAGUAAUUAAGGGCACACCUAGCCUAGUGGGCCCAUGAGCACUCAGAUCUGGGUAUACAGUCCAUGUGACACAUCAGAGUGAGAGUGGGGCAGGUGUUCCAGCCCUUGUCUCACUCCUUCCAUUGCAUCAUAGCACCUGGAUGUGGGGUUCCAAGGGAGCCCACACACCCCUGCUUUGCUUGCCAGUCUCUGGAAAUCUGGGAAGAGCUGCAGUGACAAGAGCACCUGAGUAUUUCUGGCAAGUUUUGGACAUUUGUUUACUUAAGUGGAUGUUUUCUCCUAUUCAGUCAUAUCAAAAAGAUCUGGCCGCCCAUCUCAUGCAAUUUGCCAACCUUGUCCCUGUCUUGUCUGGCAGAAGGUGAGGGUCGUUUUUUCCACUUCUGUGGCUGUACUUGGAAAACACUAGCUAUGAUGGGAGACAUCAGUACCCUGACCAGCUGUAGCUGGCUCCUCACAGCCUCCUCAAUCCCAGUUUUCCUUGCUUUUCCUUACUUUUCUUCCAUUUCCUUACUCUUGUUCCUGUUCUCACAGGAGUAUGCCUUUCUCUUUUCAGAAGGCAGUAAAAAGCACCUCUCUGACAUAAAGCUUUUUCUUAGGUCAUGUCAAGUUCUGUCUUCAAAGAGUAGAGAUACUUGAGCUUCUCAAAGAAGAAGGAUGCCAAGACCUUUUAACUCUGGCAGUGAAAAGUGCUUUUCUUAGGCUUCAUUUUCAGAAACAUAUGCACUGUUUUAGUGGAGAUACCCAAAAUUACAUUUAGCACGAGGCUACAUUUUUUAACAGUUGAAAAUUAUCUAGAAGGGGGAAACUGCGCAACAGCUGUAGCAGGCAGCACCACUGCCAGCUUCACCUCCUCCUUCACAUCAGGAAAUGCCAAUUUGACUUUGAAUGUCUUCAGAGUCCUUUUUCACAACAUGUUGGCAAAUAUGCAGUCUUGGAAAGAUUUACUAUGAUGCUGCAAGUUUUACAAGGCUCCCAGUAGAGUCAGUUGUCCGAGGAGGAGGCGAUGCAUGAGCAGUGAACUGCUGCCUGCUUUGCUGGUUUGUAAGAGUUAGUUGAGGAGUGAGAGCCCCACUUUGGAAUUUGAAUUGUUUGUGAGUCCCUUGAUGGUAGGACUGCAUGUGCAUUUGUAUAUCUCCUAAUCAUCCUUCCUCCAAGACUGGUUCUAUGUAUGUAAAUCAAAAAAUAAAAGACACCUCACAAAUUACAGGAGCCUGUAUCACCAUGGUCUUACCAUUUUAUAGAAGGGUCAGACAGGGAUGCUGAUAUCUGGAGAAGGAUUGGUGGUACGACAGAAACUUCACAGCUGUUGAAGCUGAUUUUUGAAUUUUUAAUGGUAAACUUGAAGAGCAGCCUUAUGUUGUUCAAGGUCUGUCUAUCAUGUACUUUUUCCAAGGUAGUAGAAUGAACACAUGAUCCCCAGGAAGUUAAUAAUAAUUCUUUCAUGCUGGGAAAAAAAGUGAAAGGAAAAAUGAGCUACAUAAGAUUUGCCUGUGACAUUUGAAGUCCAAAUGGGAGUUUGUCUGAGUAAUUUAUCUUUGGGUAUUUGCAGGAGGGAGAGUAGGAGAAUAUGAAUAAGGGCAUCUUAGUUACGUUUGAGCUUUCUGAUAGAUAAAGAGAAUUUUUGGUGGCUCUGUCUGGCUGGAAGGUCUAUCUGUGUGAUCUCUUCUCUGGCAGAUGGAAGAUAACACUAGGAGGAGUACUUUAAUUAUCAAAGCAUGAGAAUUACUCCAGUGCAGUAUCACCCUGAGACACCGCUUUCUUUCAGAGUGACAGGUGAUGUUUCUGGGAUGUUAGAGAGAGCUGAUUUCCCCCUGCGGCACUGAACUUGUGUACACCAGAUUUUCUCUGGCAGUAUUAAACUUGUCCACAUUGUGUAUCUGUUGCUGGUGAGAAAAGAAACAAAAAUACAAAGUAUCCUUACAGAGAACAUAGCAAGUGCAAAGGGACUGAAGGAAGAGGAUAUGUUUAUCGAUUUGAUUAAUAUUUCUUUCACAAUCUGCUUAGAUUCUUUGAGUUCCUACAAACUACUUUUUGAAACAUGUAAAAGAUGAUUAGACUGACAUAAAUUGAAAACUUUCUGCAUGGAGAGAUUCUUUCUCAAAGUGCGUAGCAAUUUUCAUUUCCCACUGUUGUUGGCUUUUUGCUUGCACAGGUGUUUGAGCAACCUCACGUUUCCAUCAAGACUUCUCUUUGCAGUGUGCAGGGUUCCAUGUGAACCUACCAACAGUCCUGCAUCCAGACCUUCCUUUAAUUUCUAGGAAUAACAUUCAGCAUGUUCUUGUGAGCAUCAGGAGUUAACUAAUGGAGGCACCUUCUGUGAAUUGCCUACAACUUUGGCAGUUUUCUGGUGAAAAGGCUAGAAGUAAUGUUCCAUGAGGAGUGGCUGAGGACUUUGGGCUUGUCUAGUUUGGAGAAAAAGAUGGUGAGGGGCAACCUCUCUACAGCUUCCUGAGCAGGGGAAGUGGAGAAGGAGUCGCUGAUAUCUUCUACUUGGUAUUCAGUGAUAGUAUAUGUGGGAAAUGGUUCAAAGCUGUGUCAAGGGAGGAUCAGACUGGACAAUGGGAAGCAUUUCUUUAUGAAGAGGGUGAUCAAACACUGGAACAGGCUUCCUAGAGAGGUGGUUGAUGCCCCAAGCCCCAUCAGUGUCUGAGACACUUGGACAAUGCCCUAAACUUUUGGUCAGCCCUGAAUUGGUCAGGCAUUUGGACUGUUGUAGGUCCCUUUCAACUGAAAUACUUGGUUCUUUCUGAUUAUUUUACAGUUUGGAUGCUGGCUGUACAGUGGAAUGUGCUCAUGAUACACAGCAGACCAUGAGGUUGACAAAAGUCAUGUCUGUGAGACCAUAUUUGCCUCAGUCACCAUUCCCUUUGCUCUGGAGGAGGUUAGGAGAAAGCCAUUUGAGAAGGAAGGUUUGUCAAUACUAUAUCUCAUUUGAACAUCAAGCCCUACAGAGACUCCAAGAUAAUUGUUUAUGCAACUGCUUUCUGUUUCCUGUGCUGGUCAGCUUGGCUUUAGUUUGGUUUUCUGAAGACCCCUGUAAUUUAUGGAAGUGCCAGUGCUAAGCAAUUAAACUGGGUAGCAGCAAUGUUACAAAUAGAUUUUACAGAAGCUGUUGUUUACAACAUUGUGAUCCAUGAUGAGCUGUGUGCCAGUGUGCAUGAAUAAAAUAAAGAUGUCACACAUUUUGAAAAUGCA